Long non-coding RNA from Salmo salar (Atlantic salmon), 2418 nucleotides. RefSeq lists it as uncharacterized. The record is from RefSeq and is a predicted model, not a curated record. Lineage: Eukaryota; Metazoa; Chordata; Actinopteri; Salmoniformes; Salmonidae.
CCUGGGGAGACUGGAGACUGGGAGACUGGGAGCCGAAGUAUAUACCCCUUCGUCCUUGAUUGGUCAACUGUGGGUGGCGUAAGUUUCUUCUUCUUCUUCAGCCCGAAACUCAUAGGUGGCGGCAACACACCCGGUGUAGUCUACCAUAAAACUUUAAAGAAGAAGCCCGAAACUCAUAGGUGGCGGCAACACACCCGGUGUAGUCUACCAUAAAACUUUAAAGAAGAAGCCCGAAACUCAUAGGUGGCGGCAACACAUCAGGUGAAGUCUACCAUAAAACUUUAAAGAAGAAGAAGCCCGAAACUCGGUGUGUAUUCAACAUGGCGAACAACAACUUCAAGCAUCGAUUGACCGAAGAGGUACAGAAGUACCUUAACCACUACAAUUAUAGCCAUGCAUUAUAUAAAGACCAGCAUGUAAAUGCCAAUUAAUGGAGGGUGAUUGCGGAAACGCUGGGGUCCGACCCAAUCACUUGUUUGAAAAAGUGGGGUAUGAUUCGCAACAAGUUUGUCAAGGCAAAGAAAAGAAACAAGGGCCACAGUGGAAAUGCCGGUGGAAAAGCUACUAUAGAAAUGUUGCUGCUGGCUUGUUCGGCACGUGAAGCAUGGGAAGACUGAAAGCAACAUGACGUCUUCACCAAAGGAUGAGGGGACAAACAGCAGUGAAUGGAGACAUAGCCUGGUUUUGUUCUCUGCGCCCCAGCACUGCCUGUUCACCGGCCCCAAACACUACCUCUCCAGACACUCUUAAUUCCCUCUCCACAGGGCCCUGGCACCUACAGCUGACUUCAUGGAUGAACUCUUGCCAAAACUCUUGGAGAAAUUUGAUCACCAGCUGCAAGACAAGAGGAGGACGUGGUCUGAACGACUGGGACUACAGUGAAAUUAAGUUUGGUUGUUGUUCAGACAUCUCAGGAGUCAGACACAUUUGUUUCCAUAGACACUUGUUUACAUGUCUGUUCUCAGCAGACACUUUUGAACUGUGGCUUACUUUCAGAGCCCAGAAGCAAGAAUAAAGGUUUAUUUUUGUGUGCUGAAAAAGCUUUUGGCAUUUCUUCAUCUCAAUACAAGGUGUUUCAAUGCAUUCUAUUUGAACAGCAAGUGCUGACAAUGUACAGAAGAGCUGUGUGCUACAGACCUUACAGGCUUUCUUCUAUUUGUGGUGUACUUCCAUCUAAUCUAAAUUACUGAACAGAGACAUCAGAUUUCAUUUUAUUAACAAGAUUCAAUCUACAUUUUAGUACGAAGUACUUUGGUUCACAGUGCACACACAGAACCGUGUCGACGUCCAUCAAGGGGGAUGUGAGCAGUCGAAACAAUGGACUAUUUCGGCAUGAUUGGCUGGCCUUGAGUUGAAUUGUCCUCUCCUAACCAUGUCUUUCUACCAUGGUACAAUUCCAGGGGCUGCAAGGAUGAGGAGCCAUGUGUGGUGCCUGGUUUCCUCCAGACCAAGACUCUUCCUAGAGCUGGCCCCCUGGCCAAACUGAGCAAUCGGGGGACAAUGGCCUUGGUCAGGGAGGUGACCAAGAACCUGAUGGUCACUGACAGAGCUCCUCUGUGGAGAUGGGAGAAACUUCCAGAAAGACAACCAUCUCUGCAGCACUCCACCAAUCAGUCCUUUAUGGUAGAGUGGCCAGACGGAAGCUACACCUCAGUAAAAGGUACAUAACAGCCUGCUUGGAGUUUGCCAAAAGGCACCUAAAGGACUCUCAGAGCAUGAGAAACAAGAUUAUCUGCUCUGAUGAAACCAAGAGCUCUGUAAGGGUGACCAUUGGGUUCUUGGUCACCUCCCUGACCAAGGCCCUUUUCCCCUGACUGCGGCCAGCUCCAGAAAGACUUGGUGGUUCCAAACUUCCAUUUAAGAAUGAUGGAGGCCACGGUGUUCCUGGGGACCUUCAAUGUUGCAGAGAUGUUUUGGUACAUUUCCUCGGAUCUAUGCAGCGACACAAUCCUGUCUCGGAGCUCUACGGACAAUUACUUCGACCUCAUGACUUGGUGUUUGCUCUGACAUGCACUGUCAACUGUGGGACUUUAUAUAGACAGGUGUGUGCCUUUCUGAAUCAUGUCCAAUCGAUUGAAUUUACCACAGGUGGACUCCAAGUUUGAGAACCAUCUCAAGAAUUAUCAAUAGAAACAGUGCACCUGAGCUCAAUGUCUUGUCUCAUAGCAAAGAGUCUGAAUAAUUAUGGGCAUAAGGUAUCAGUUUUUUGUUUUUAAUACCUUUGCAAAAAUGUAUAAACUGUUUUCACUUUCAUUAUGGGGAAUGGUGUGUAGAUGAGGAAAAACCUGUAUUUAAUCCAUUUUAGAAUAAGGCUGUAACGUAACUGUGGAAAAAGUGAAGGGGUCUGAAUACUUUCUGAAUGCACUGUACAUGUGAACAACAUACACAACUCCUAUAUAAAAUAUUUUUCUCAAAGUU